Molecule: ribosomal RNA, 279 nt
Filed under: uncultured bacterium
Lineage: Bacteria
Description: partial 16S ribosomal RNA
Rfam family: Bacterial small subunit ribosomal RNA
Source: RNAcentral
CUUGCUAAGUUUGAUGGCGACCGGCGCACGGGUGAGUAACACGUAUCCAACCUGCCGAUGACUCGGGGGUAGCCUUUCGAAAGAAAGAUUAAUACCCGAUGGCAUAGUUCUUCCGCAUGGUGGAACUAUUAAAGAAUUUCGGUCAUCGAUGGGGAUGCGUUCCAUUAGGUUGUUGGCGGGGUAACGGCCCACCAAGCCUUCGAUGGAUAGGGGUUCUGAGAGGAAGGUCCCCCACAUUGGAACUGAGACACGGUCCAAACUCCUACGGGAGGCAGCAUG